This is a non-coding RNA of Chelonoidis abingdonii (Abingdon island giant tortoise), 474 nucleotides long. Lineage: Eukaryota; Metazoa; Chordata; Testudines; Testudinidae. The record is from RefSeq and is a predicted model, not a curated record.
GGUGUGCUGGAGCCAUUGGAGGGGGAGAAGCAGGAACAGUGAGAGAGGUCACAUUACAGUGGCUGCUCCAGAGCCUUUACAACUACAAGUAAUUCUCCACCCACCCUGAGAAUCAGAGGAUAUGCCUGUAAAGGAUUCAGACAGCAGUCUGAGCUGCUUAUGGAAGUCAGCCACAGGGACAAAUAAAGUGGAGGCGAAGCCAAAGAUUGCUUUGAUCCUUACUGCGACAGGCACAGAAGUCCCAGAUGGUGGUGGAGAAAGAGGGGAAAGUUGUGCAGAAAUAUCAAAAAUGUCUGAGGCUCAUUGUGUUCUUAGAAAAAAAUGUUACUUAUGAGAGAGAGAUGGGUCAGGACAAGAACACAGAAUGAAGGGAAACAAUCGAGUUUUGUCAGAGAUUUAAAGCUAAAAAAUCAGUCCUGUGACCAUGGAAUCGUAAAAGAUUCUCUCAUUAAAGACCAAAUUAUCCUGGGGUGU